CAGCACUCCAGCAAACCCUAGAGUCGUCUAUAAAUCGAAGCCAGUUCUCAUCUUCACCCUAAGGGCAAUUCUCAAUAAUACGGCCAUUCGCAGAGCAAUUCCAAUGGCUGCCAGAACUCUAACAGGCGCCGUGGUGGAGGCGGGGAUUUUAGGGGAGUCAGGAGAGGUGGAUGAGGUGGAGGAGGAAGCCGAAUGAAGAGAGGCGCUGUUAGAGGCGGAGCAAGAGGAGGUGGAAGAGGAGCAAGCCGAGGAAUGAAGCGACACCAAAGUUGUGGUAGGCACGAUGGCUUGUUUUAUGCUGAGGAAAUGGACGGUGCUAUUGUCACCAAGAAUUUGGUCCCUGGUGCAACUGUUCAUAAUGAGACGAGAAUCUCCACUGAGGUAUAAAAUUGAUAUUUUGAUAGAUUGAGUGCUUUUACCAUUCCUUAGCAAGGGAUCUUAUAGAAUGUCAAAUGCUCUCUAUUUUAAAGACCCAAAUAGUGAAAUUAGGCUUACACUGGAUUCUUUAUCUGAACCUUUUAAAAUGGAAUAGGUUUGGCUCUGUAUUAUGAUUCUUGGAUUUUCUUUUAGUGAUCCAGUUAUUUUUCUUGAUGUGUAAAUUGUGCUGUGAUGAGUUACUCGGAUUCCCCUUCAAGACAUCUUGGGUGAUGCAAAGACCGAGUUCUGAUGCACAGCUGAAUCAAAAUUUUAUUUCCUUCAUUAUAUAUAUAUAUAAUGGGCAAUGGUAUCUUGAUGUUCUAUCCGUUUGGCAUUUUCCUAAUUUUUAUGAAAGUGCUUGCUUUUAGAGGAAGUUGGUCCUUUUAAAAAAAUAGUUCAUAUGAAAACUAAGCUAUCUUUCUUCAAAAGCUCUCUUACGUGAAUCAAAUGUAAAAGCAAAAGUAAAAGUCAUGCCAAACGGCCCUAAGUUUACUGAACUUUGUACUUCUUACAAGCAAUUGUUUCCUUUUGUUUUAUGUUUAUGACUAUUUUUUUGAAUCUGUUGGAUGCUUUCCAAGGUUUGGAAGGUUAUUAACUUUCUUUUCAUUAUGGACUUAAACUACUCUAUAUGUUUAAAUCAUGUUAAGCUGCAGAUGACGAGUUACUCGGAUUCCCCUUCAAGACAUCUUGGGUGAUGCAAAAACCGAGCUUCUGAUGCAAUAAAUAAAUCAGUAUUUUAUUUCCUUAUUGCAUAUUAUUUGAUACCCUAAUUAGUAAUUACCAUCAUUACUAUUUUGAUUUUUUGCAAUCUAGUUCAUGAUGAGAGUUAUUGAAGUUAAUUCUACCUCACAUUCUUUUGUGAAAUUACCUGUUUCAUUGCUGUAGAAAUAUAGCUUUCUUUAUUUGUUAACCCUUGAUAUUAAUGUACAAAAAGAGGAGCUCAUGCGAAUAUAACUGGUAAAUGGCUAUGGUCUAUGGGAGUAUGUGGCUUUGUAUGGUGCUGAAAGCUCUGCUUGCUGCUUAAAAUCCAGUGAUCAUUUUCUUCUUGUCA
Olea europaea var. sylvestris is the source of this 1468-nucleotide long non-coding RNA. RefSeq lists it as uncharacterized. The transcript has 2 exons. NCBI's taxonomy places the organism in Eukaryota, Viridiplantae, Streptophyta, Magnoliopsida, Lamiales, Oleaceae. The record is from RefSeq and is a predicted model, not a curated record.